RNAcentral lists this transfer RNA (68 nucleotides) under Tapinoma melanocephalum. Its description in RNAcentral is "tRNA-Leu". The record is from RNAcentral. Lineage: Eukaryota; Metazoa; Arthropoda; Insecta; Hymenoptera; Formicidae.
AUUACUUUGGCAGAUUAGUGUAGUAAAUUUAGAAUUUAUGUAAAUAUAUAUUGAAUAUAUAAGUAAUA